GGAGAGGUACCCAAGUGGCUGAAGGGGCGGGAUUGCUAAUCCUGUAGGUCGGAAUCUUCCGGCGCGGGGGUUCAAAUCCCCCUCUCUCCGCCA
This 93-nucleotide transfer RNA is filed under the name Candidatus Peregrinibacteria bacterium. Its description in RNAcentral is "tRNA-Ser". It matches the Rfam family "tRNA". From Rfam's summary of the family: Transfer RNA (tRNA) molecules are approximately 80 nucleotides in length. Their secondary structure includes four short double-helical elements and three loops (D, anti-codon, and T loops). Further hydrogen bonds mediate the characteristic L-shaped molecular structure. tRNAs have two regions of fundamental functional importance: the anti-codon, which is responsible for specific mRNA codon recognition, and the 3' end, to which the tRNAs corresponding amino acid is attached (by aminoacyl-tRNA synthetases). tRNAs cope with the degeneracy of the genetic code in two manners: having more than one tRNA (with a specific anti-codon) for a particular amino acid; and 'wobble' base-pairing, i.e. permitting non-standard base-pairing at the 3rd anti-codon position. The record is from RNAcentral. Lineage: Bacteria; Candidatus Peregrinibacteriota.